GACGAACGCUGGCGGCGUGCUUAACACAUGCAAGUCGAACGAUGAUGCCAGCUUGCUGGUGGAUUAGUGGCGAACGGGUGAGUAACACGUGAGCAACCUGCCCCUGACUUCGGGAUAACCGCGGGAAACCGUGGCUAAUACCGGAUAUGACGCGCUAUCGCAUGGUGGUGUGUGGAAAGAUUUAUCGGUUGGGGAUGGGCUCGCGGCCUAUCAGCUUGUUGGUGGGGUGAUGGCCUACCAAGGCGACGACGGGUAGCCGGCCUGAGAGGGUGACCGGCCACACUGGGACGGAGACACGGCCCAGACUCCUACGGGAGGCAGCAGUGGGGAAUAUUGCACAAUGGGCGCAAGCCUGAUGCAGCGACGCCGCGUGAGGGAUGACGGCCUUCGGGUUGUAAACCUCUUUCAGUAGGGAAGAAGGCCUUCGGGUUGACGGUACCUGCAGAAGAAGCGCCGGCUAACUACGUG
This 468-nucleotide ribosomal RNA is filed under the name uncultured bacterium. Its description in RNAcentral is "partial 16S ribosomal RNA". It matches the Rfam family "Bacterial small subunit ribosomal RNA", at positions 28 to 507 of the family's 1533-position model. The record is from RNAcentral.